Molecule: ribosomal RNA, 506 nt
Filed under: uncultured bacterium
Lineage: Bacteria
Description: bacterial SSU rRNA
Rfam family: Bacterial small subunit ribosomal RNA
Source: RNAcentral
GAGAUCGAUCCCUUCAGUUCGGCUGGACCGGAGACAGGUGCUGCAUGGCUGUCGUCAGCUCGUGUCGUGAGAUGUUGGGUUAAGUCCCGCAACGAGCGCAACCCUCGCCUUAGUUGCCACCAUUCAGUUGGGCACUCUAAGGGGACUGCCGGUGAUAAGCCGCGAGGAAGGUGGGGAUGACGUCAAGUCCUCAUGGCCCUUACGGGCUGGGCUACACACGUGCUACAAUGGCGGUGACAGUGGGAUGCAAUGGAGUGAUCCUGCGCAAAUCUCAAAAAGCCGUCUCAGUUCGGAUUGUGCUCUGCAACUCGAGCACAUGAAGUUGGAAUCGCUAGUAAUCGCAGAUCAGCACGCUGCGGUGAAUACGUUCCCGGGCCUUGUACACACCGCCCGUCACACCAUGGGAGUUGGCUUUACCUGAAGACGGUGCGCUAACCGCAAGGAGGCAGCCGGCCACGGUAGGGUCGGCGACUGGGGUGAAGUCGUAACAAGGUAAGCGUAGUGCU